AUGGAUGGGAUGGACUUCCUGGCAGGAAUGGGCAUGAACGAGGAGGAUCUUAUGACGAUGGUGUUUGAAAAGAAUGUUGCUGAGCUGAGAGAAGACACGUUUGAUGGUUCUGAGGAGGAAAGACAAAUCUUUGAGGAGAUUUUCGGCUGCGGGCAGAACACUUCACAGCCAGGCGCAAGCAAAACAUCUAUACCGCCAUCCGGCUCUGCCUCCAGCGGCAAGAUGGGCUACUGCCGCAUAGUGGAGUCCUUCACUCAGGGCAACCUAUCGAGCUAUCAUGUCUUCGAUCACAGUGCUAGUCAACAAAUGCAGAACGCAAUGCCUUGCACAGAUCAUCAUGACAUGCCUUCUGAGCUCGUGGUACAGUCGACGCCACCUUCCAUCGAUCGGGUGUACACUCGCAGGGCGGUGACUCACAGCAGCCAGAGAGCAGAACUUUCCAGUGUCCUGGAUUUAGAGAGGGUUGACAUCACCAGCGUGAUCGCGCGGCGACCGGGCGGCUGUGGCUUUGGAAUGCUCUGGAACCAUCUCCGGCUGCACGCGCAUCUUCUGAUGCUGGACGCCGGGUGGAAGAUCGAGGGCAAGGAGAGGGGGAACAAGAGUAAGAUCGAGGGCAACAAGGAAAGGUGGAACAAGAGUAAGAUCGACCUCAUGUACGAGUCGCCCGACAAGCUCAUGCGCCUGGCUUCUCUUGCCAGGGCAUGGAAGUGCUUUGGUGAGUGGCUGCUUAUCCGUUCGUCCAGAGUUGAUGGAGAUGACUGUGGAAAGGAAUGGUCCAACAUGCACGACUUUCUGUGUGAUUUGAAGGACACGCUGCUGUGCUUGGAACACGAGGCCCGGCGCGCCGAGCAAUCCCUGUCUUUCAUGCACCAGUGGCGGCUGCUCGAUCCUUUCAUGGCGGUGGUUUGCAUCGAGAAGAAGGUCGCAGCGCUGCGGAAUGGGGUGCCACUGAAGGCUGUUAACAGCACAGUCUACAGCCCUCAGACAUAG
Molecule: ribosomal RNA, 990 nt
Filed under: Triticum aestivum (bread wheat)
Lineage: Eukaryota; Viridiplantae; Streptophyta; Magnoliopsida; Poales; Poaceae
Description: partial small subunit ribosomal RNA
Source: RNAcentral